RNAcentral lists this long non-coding RNA (377 nucleotides) under Sitophilus oryzae (rice weevil). Its description in RNAcentral is "uncharacterized LOC115875545, transcript variant X1". Lineage: Eukaryota; Metazoa; Arthropoda; Insecta; Coleoptera; Curculionidae. The record is from RNAcentral.
CAAUUAUUAUUGUCCAGGUCAUAUUUGAUAACUGUUGUUAAUUGAUAACAUAUUACAGGGACACAGUAAAAAGACAAAACAUUUAGACCCUUUGAAAGAGAAAUGUUUGCAAUGGAUAUUAAUAAAUUCUAGCCAAUUUGUACGAUGUACAAUGCAGGCAAUAUUUCUGCCUCAUAACGCACUAUUCGCGUAAAAGAAGAUAACAGAUUUAUUAUUAGUUGGCUAGUGUGUUAGUAGGAUAGCCAUUGGUAGUUAUAAAGUAUGAAGUCGUCAGGUAUUAAUAAUAGGAAUUGAUCAAAGCUUAUACAUUUAUUGUGAUAUUUAUAUUGUGAAUUUAAGUAGUUAGUUUUGGUUGUUUAAUAAACGAAUUAAUGUGC